Molecule: ribosomal RNA, 441 nt
Filed under: uncultured bacterium
Lineage: Bacteria
Description: partial 16S ribosomal RNA
Rfam family: Bacterial small subunit ribosomal RNA
Source: RNAcentral
CCUACGGGUGGCAGCAGUGGGGAAUAUUGCACAAUGGGGGAAACCCUGAUGCAGCGACGCCGCGUGAGCGAGGAAGUAUUUCGGUAUGUAAAGCUCUAUCAGCAGGGACGAAAAAAGACGGUACCUGACUAAGAAGCCCCGGCUAACUACGUGCCAGCAGCCGCGGUAAUACGUAGGGGGCAAGCGUUAUCCGGAUUUACUGGGUGUAAAGGGAGCGUAGACGGCAGCGCAAGUCUGGAGUGAAAUGCCGGAGCCCAACCCCGGAACUGCUCUGGAAACUGUGAAGCUGGAGUGCAGGAGAGGUAAGCGGAAUUCCUGGUGUAGCGGUGAAAUGCGUAGAUAUCAGGAGGAACACCGGCGGCGAAGGCGGCUUACUGGACUGUAACUGACGUUGAGGCUCGAAGGCGUGGGGAGCAAACAGGAUUAGAUACCCUAGUAGUC